GAGAAAGGAUAAAAGGGGGAGCCGGAGCGGGAGGCUUGUGGAAGGAGUGACACUGCGGGAAGAAGUCAGGAGGAAGGUGUGUGGGAGGAGCAGAGAGGAGGAGCGGCCCGGUGCGGGGAGGAGUCUGCAAACUUUCAGUUCAAGGGCAUUGUGGGAAGUAGCCAUGGUCUGAGGCUAGCGCCUCACCUGUCAGCCGCCCGGGCUGCUACAGUCUCUUCUGGCCCUCGCAUCCCGGGCGAUCGCUGCUGUCGGGACCCGGGCGGCUGCGGCCACCAUGAUACAUUUCAUCUUGCUCUUCAGUCGUCAAGGGAAGCUGCGGCUGCAGAAAUGGUACACCACGCUCCCUGACAAGGAGAGGAAGAAGAUCACUCGGGACAUCAUCCAGACUGUCCUCUCUCGUGGGCACAGGACCAGCAGCUUCGUUGACUGGAAGGAGCUAAAACUCGUUUAUAAAAGGUAUGCUAGUUUAUAUUUUUGCUGUGCAAUAGAAAAUCAAGACAAUGAGCUUUUGACACUAGAGAUUGUUCAUCGUUAUGUGGAGUUGCUGGAUAAAUACUUUGGAAAUGUCUGUGAGCUGGAUAUUAUCUUUAAUUUUGAAAAGGCGUAUUUUAUCCUUGAUGAGUUUAUAAUAGGUGGAGAAAUUCAGGAAACGUCCAAGAAAACGGCAGUCAAGGCCAUUGAAGACUCUGAUAUGCUACAAGAGGUCAAGAGUCAAGAGGAUUUCAAGAAUUAUAAAGUACCUUUUUAAAAUUGGUGCUAAAGUCAUUCUUCCUGCUAUUUGGAAAUAAGAGACUGGUUAAUUUAAUAAGACGUUAGGCAUGAUUUCCCAGCAACUGUCUUGGCAGUACUGUGAGCUGAUGACUUACUUCUGCCCAUGGAGGGACUCCAUCCUCAGACAAUGGAAGAAUACAUGAACAAGCCCACGUUUUAAGGAUACAGUCUACUUGAAGAUUCUGAGCACUUCACGCUGUGAACCUGCAAACAAGCAACUCCUUGCAUCCACAUGGCCUCUGUUCUGGCACUAAGCUAACAAGGACUUAAAGGGAUUCUGUGUUAGCUAGCAAAACUUAAAGUUGUUAGCUUAAUGUCCUUAUGGCUGCUAUAUAUCUGUAUUAUACUGUGUUUCCGUGCUCACUGUGGCUUUAGGUGUUUCACAUAAUUGCUGCAGAUUGAAUAGUUGCUUGCGGUGUUUUAAGUCCUUGUGGUAUUUUUAAGGUAAUUUCAAAUAUUAGUUGCAAUAUGGUAAUUUUUGUUGCCAUUUGAUCUUCUACCUGUAGAUUGACAACUGCUUUGUGAUAACACACAAUUUUGAAUGUAAAGUAUAUUUUAUAUAAUAAAUACCUUUCCUAAAUGUUUAAAAUUGUACAUAAAUUAAGUUUAUGUUAAUAGCUCAAAUUUCAUACAUGAUGCUUAGAUAUUUUUUUAAUAUGUUCAAUACUACUAUAAUUUCAGGUCAGAUACAAUAUAUAUGACGUUAAUGUCUUGAAUUCAAUUUAUUUUGUUUUUGUUUUUUAGAAUCUUGAUAAAAUUUCAUAAGAGAUUUUGAUGUCUUAGAAGGUGCUAGACCAAAGUUUUUACUUUAUUUUCAAUUGAAUAUAAGGGAUAUUUUAGUAAGGUUGUGGUUUCUACAAACUAUGUAUUUAUUAAGGUUUCUAGAGAUCUGGAGAUGAAAUGUUACAGCAUCUCCUGUUUUUACCAUAAUACUGAGAGGAAGAGCUAUAGCAAUAUUCAUAUAGCAAUAAUUGUGAUCUCUCUUACUAUUUUAUAUCUCAUGUUCCAAUUAUUCCUUGUGAUUUUUUUUAGAUAUUUUAUUUUCAGAUAUCUCAUUCCUUGUGAAACUUUAAAACAUAUUUUAAAUGUAAGGUGAAUGUGUAAGACUUCCUUAUGUCCUGUGUAUUUUCAUUGUACUCUUCAUGGGAGGUAACUCUAUUUCUUUUUUUUUGCCCUUUUCCCCAGAAAAAUAUUUUCUGCUGACCAUAAUUACUAUGACCAUGUCACCUUCAUGCUUCCAAAAUAAAAGUUCUGCAUAGCCAGAUACUGAGUACGCUCAGACACGAAGUAAGAAGUUGUUUGUAGCAUUUGUUUGAGGUGUCUCAGGCUGCAGUUUUAUAUAUGUAUUCUCCGUGUUAGUGUCGAGGUUUGGUGUCCUUUGUAUCUAAGUGCAAGAACUCUCGUGGUUUUCCUAAGACAAUAGGGAGAUCUCAUACAGUGGACCCUUAGAGAAUGUGGUUGUCAUCUUUGGUUCAUCUCAUCAGACAUACUUAAGGGAAGAUGGCAAUAGCAGAGUAGAAAAACAGACCUACAAAUAGACCCAUUCCUUAGUAUAACCAUUUAUUUAACAAUAAUUCAGAGUGCAUAUGAGCUAAUAACUGGGCUUUUAAUAACUGGUUUAUCUUCAAAUUAAUAUAAUUUUGGUGGUUUAGUCUUUCUGAACAUCUUUGUCUGAGCAGUCUUCAGUUUUGUGCAUUAAGUUUUUUAAAAAGUUCAAUAAAGAUGUCUGUUUUUCAAACAUUUUUGUAAACCUGAACUUUCUGUGACUUCAGAGGUUUUCUAGUUCCUUCCCAUUGUUUUUGGAGGAAAGUAUCUUUUGAGCUUCAUUAAAUGUCCUGCUUAUAUUCUGGACAUUUCCAUACUUGAUCUUGUCUAGGUUGCACAAGGAUUCUUCCUGUCAAUGUACUCAUAUUUAGGUGAGUAAAUUCAGGGGAUUUGGGGAACAGCUCCCAGGAGCUUUAGUGAAAAAUCAUUAUGUAUGCUUUCUUGAUUAUUAUAAGACUCUAAGAAAAAUUACCAAGUGAAAGGAAAAAAAAGUACUGAAUUUGUAUAAAACAUCCAAAUAAAAGGUUAAAAACAUGCUAAUGAUGAA
Apodemus sylvaticus (European woodmouse) is the source of this 2863-nucleotide RNA transcript. It is a transcript of the gene named adaptor related protein complex 1 subunit sigma 3, with no coding region annotated. The record is from RefSeq and is a predicted model, not a curated record. Lineage: Eukaryota; Metazoa; Chordata; Mammalia; Rodentia; Muridae. The transcript is spliced from 6 exons.